RNAcentral lists this ribosomal RNA (330 nucleotides) under uncultured eukaryote. Its description in RNAcentral is "partial 18S ribosomal RNA". It matches the Rfam family "Eukaryotic small subunit ribosomal RNA", at positions 1470 to 1796 of the family's 1831-position model. The record is from RNAcentral.
CCCUUAGAUGUUCUGGGCCGCACGCGCGCUACACUGAUGCAUUCAACGAGUCUAAAACCUGCUCUGAUAGGGGUGGGUAAUCUUUUGAAUGUGCAUCGUGAUUGGGGUAGAUGAUUGCAAUUUUUCAUCUUCAACGAGGAAUGCCUAGUAAACGCAAGUCAUCAGCUUGCAUUGAUUACGUCCCUGCCCUUUGUACACACCGCCCGUCGCUCCUACCGAUUGAAUGAUCCGAUGAAUAUCAUAGACUGAGAGUAUAAGCAGGUUCGCCUGUCUUUGCUUCUCGGGAAGUGAAGUAAAUCUUAUCAUUUAGAGGAAGGAGAAGUCGUAACA